AUAUCGUUUUAUUUAUUAUAUUUUAUUUAUUAUAUCGGCUGUAUGAGCCUCGAGCGCCCCCUGUAGAAACACAUUUUCCUCUAUUUUAUCCCUCCGCCCCCCAGUGCUGAUGGCAAGGCGUUUGACAAACAUUUGCGUAAAUUUAUGUAAAUACAAAACGUCUAAUUUGUGAAAACCGAAAAGUAAUUCAGAUCAUUUACCUUAAUUAAACCACUUCCAGGAAAAUGGGGCUCUCAUUUCGGUAGCGGUGAAAACAUCAUUAGGCAGCUGUUGCAGUGACUAACCAGAGACGACCCUCUAAACUUAAACAUCAUUGAAUUGCGUAGGUACACGAUAACACGAACAGGAAUACAAAAACUAUGGACACGUCUGAUGAAGGGAGGAUGUCUCGUUUGAAAGAAUUUUUGCUAACUUUCUUCAUGCCAGAAAGAUGUUAUGACCAGUUUUUCCUUUACUUCAACUUUAUGCACGUUCCCUGUCUGAAGAUUGUCUUAAGUAAAACUAUGGGAAUAUUGAUUUUGGUGGGAAUUGUUAUUGCUCCACUCCCUCAGAUCUGGAAA
This is a long non-coding RNA of Sinocyclocheilus rhinocerous, 560 nucleotides long. RefSeq lists it as uncharacterized. The record is from RefSeq and is a predicted model, not a curated record. NCBI's taxonomy places the organism in Eukaryota, Metazoa, Chordata, Actinopteri, Cypriniformes, Cyprinidae. The transcript has 4 exons.